Molecule: transfer RNA, 92 nt
Filed under: Penicillium coprophilum
Lineage: Eukaryota; Fungi; Ascomycota; Eurotiomycetes; Eurotiales; Aspergillaceae
Rfam family: tRNA
About the family: Transfer RNA (tRNA) molecules are approximately 80 nucleotides in length. Their secondary structure includes four short double-helical elements and three loops (D, anti-codon, and T loops).
Source: Rfam by way of RNAcentral
GCGCCGAUAGUCUAGUGGUUAAGACUCCGCUUUCCCAUAAUGGAUUAAUCCACUAUCAAGCGGCAGCCCGGGUUCGAACCCCGGUCGGCGCA